AUUGAACGCUGGCGGCAGGCCUAACACAUGCAAGUCGAGCGGAUGAAGCGUGCUUGCUGCUGGAUUCAGCGGCGGUCGGGUGAGUAAUGCCUAGGAAUCUGCCUGGUAGUGGGGGAUAACGUCUGGAAACGGGUGCUAAUACCGCAUACGUCCUGAGGGCGCAAGUGGGGGAUCUUCGGACCUCACGCUAUCUGAUGAGCCUAGGUCGGUUUAGCUAGUAUGUGGGGUAAUGGCUUACUUAGGCGACGAUGCGUAACUGGUCUGAGGGGAUGUUCAGUCACCCUGGCACUGAGACUCGGGCCAGACUCCUAAGAGAGGCAACAGUGGGGAAUCGUGGACAAUGGGCCAAAGGCUGAUCCAGACGUGUAGCGUGUAGGCAGAUGGUCUUCGGAUUGUUGAGCACUUAAAGUUUGAGGGAAGUAAAGUUAGUUAAGACCUGACUGUUUUGACGUUACCAGGAGAAUAAGCACCGGCUAACUUCGUG
RNAcentral lists this ribosomal RNA (484 nucleotides) under uncultured bacterium. RNAcentral describes it as "partial 16S ribosomal RNA". It matches the Rfam family "Bacterial small subunit ribosomal RNA", at positions 30 to 507 of the family's 1533-position model. The record is from RNAcentral.